GACGAACGCUGGCGGCGUGCUUAACACAUGCAAGUCGAACGGAAAGGCCCUGCUUUUGUGGGGUGCUCGAGUGGCGAACGGGUGAGUAACACGUGAGUAACCUGCCCUUGACUUUGGGAUAACUUCAGGAAACUGGGGCUAAUACCGGAUAGAAGCUCCUGCUGCAUGUGGGGGGUUGGAAAGUUUCGGCGGUUGGGGAUGGACUCGCGGCUUAUCAGCUUGUUGGUGGGGUAGUGGCUUACCAAGGCUUUGACGGGUAGCCGGCCUGAGAGGGUGACCGGCCACAUUGGGACUGAGAUACGGCCCAGACUCCUACGGGAGGCAGCAGUGGGGAAUAUUGCACAAUGGGCGGAAGCCUGAUGCAGCAACGCCGCGUGCGGGAUGACGGCCUUCGGGUUGUAAACCGCUUUCGCCUGUGACGAAGCGUGAGUGACGGUAAUGGGUAAAGAAGCACCGGCUAACUACGUG
This 468-nucleotide ribosomal RNA is filed under the name uncultured bacterium. RNAcentral's name for it is "partial 16S ribosomal RNA". It matches the Rfam family "Bacterial small subunit ribosomal RNA", at positions 28 to 507 of the family's 1533-position model. The record is from RNAcentral.